This 499-nucleotide ribosomal RNA is filed under the name Triatoma dimidiata (kissing bug). RNAcentral's name for it is "partial 16S ribosomal RNA". The stretch from base 61 to 268 matches the Rfam family "Archaeal large subunit ribosomal RNA", at positions 1793 to 2108 of the family's 2987-position model. Lineage: Eukaryota; Metazoa; Arthropoda; Insecta; Hemiptera; Reduviidae. The record is from RNAcentral.
ACUUGAAUGAUUUAAUUAAUUGGGAUUUUAAUGUUAUAAUGAUUAAAUUAGUAUUUUAUUUAAUUAAAUUAUAGGAACUCGGCAAAUUUAGUGUUCGCCUGUUUAACAAAAACAUGUCCUUUUGUUUAUUUAUUUAAGGUCUGACCUGCCCAAUGAGGAAUUCAAUGGCCGCAGUAUUUUAACUGUGCUAAGGUAGCAUAAUCAUUUGUCUUUUAAUUGAGGGCUGGAAUGAAAGGUUGGACGAGAUAUUAGCUUUCUUUAGUUUAAUUUUAAGAAUUUAAUUUUUGAGUUAAAAAGCUUAAAUUUAUUUGUUGGACGAGAAGACCCUAUAGAUCUUUAUAAUUUUAUAUUUUGAUAAUUUAGUGAUUUUAUUUAUUGUAAGUAGAGGAAUUAUUUUGUUGGGGUGACUGUAGAAUUUUAUUAACUUCUAUUAUUUUUAUUUCAUUGAUUGAUGUUUUUUUGAUCCAUAUAUUUAUGAUUAAAAGAUUAAGUUACCUUA